Molecule: ribosomal RNA, 520 nt
Filed under: uncultured bacterium
Lineage: Bacteria
Description: partial 16S ribosomal RNA
Rfam family: Bacterial small subunit ribosomal RNA
Source: RNAcentral
GACGAACGCUGGCGGCGUGCCUAACACAUGCAAGUCGAACGGAGAAUUUUAUUUCGGUAGAAUUCUUAGUGGCGAACGGGUGAGUAACGCGUAGACAACCUGCCUCUUAGAUGGGGACAACAUCGCGAAAGCGGUGCUAAUACCGAAUGAAGUGGAGCUUCCGUAUGGAAGCAUCACCAAAGGUGGCCUCUAUUUAUAAGCUACCACUGAGAGAUGGGUUUGGGUCUGAUUAGCUAGUUGGCGGGGUAAUGGACCACCAAGGCGACGAUCAGUAGCCGGUCUGAGAGGAUGAACGGCCACAUUGGGACUGAGGCACGGCCCAAACUCCUACGGGAGGCAGCAGUGGGGAAUCUUCCGCAAUGGACGAAAGUCUGACGGAGCAACGCCGCGUGAGUGAAGAAGGUUUUCGGAUCGUAAAGCUCUGUUGUUUGAGACGAAUGUGCAGACUUUGAAUAAGGGUUUGUAAUGACGGUAUUAAACGAGAAAGCCACGGCUAACUACGUGCCAGCCGCCGCCGUAA